CGAUUGCUUUGACAGCUAGGAUGUUGGCUUGGAAGCAGCCAUUCAUUUAAAGAGUGCGUAACAGCUCACUAGUCGAGCGACUUUGCGCGGAAAAUACUCGGGCAUCAAACAUUUCACCGAAGCUGUGGAAUAGAAAUAUUGGUAGGGGAGCAUUCUAAUAAGGUUGAAGCAGUACUGUGAGGUAUUGUGGACAUAUUAGAAAAGCAAAUGUAGGAAUGAGUAACGAUAAAGCGGGUGAGAAACCCGCUCGCCGAAAAUCUAAGGUUUCCUCAGCUAUGCUAAUCAGCUGAGGGUUAGUCG
RNAcentral lists this ribosomal RNA (300 nucleotides) under Alexandrium tamarense. RNAcentral's name for it is "partial Bacterial large subunit ribosomal RNA". It matches the Rfam family "Bacterial large subunit ribosomal RNA", at positions 1078 to 1386 of the family's 2925-position model. Lineage: Eukaryota; Dinophyceae; Gonyaulacales; Pyrocystaceae. The record is from RNAcentral.